AGCGAACGCUGGCGGCAUGCUUAACACAUGCAAGUCGCACGAUCAGUUUCGGCUGGUAGUGGCGGACGGGUGAGUAUCGCGUAGGGAUUUAUCGUUGGGUGGGGGAUAACCUUGGGAAACUGGGGCUAAUACCGCAUGACGCCUGAGGGCCAAAGCUGCGGCGCCUGACGAGAAGCCUGCGUCCGAUUAGGUAGUUGGUUGGGUAAUGGCUGACCAAGCCUGCGAUCGGUAGCUGGUCUGAGAGGAUGAUCAGCCACACUGGGACUGAGACACGGCC
Molecule: ribosomal RNA, 277 nt
Filed under: uncultured bacterium
Lineage: Bacteria
Description: partial 16S ribosomal RNA
Rfam family: Bacterial small subunit ribosomal RNA
Source: RNAcentral